GAUGAAGAACGUAGCGAAAUGCGAUAAGUAAUGUGAAUUGCAGAUUUCAGUGAAUCAUCGAAUCUUUGAACGCACCUUGCGCCUUGUGGUAUUCCACAAGGCAUGCCCGUUUGAGUAUCAUUAAAUCAUCAACUCUAAAACCUUUGUGGUUUUUUUAGAGCUUGGUCUUGAGGGUUUUGCAGGCUUUUUUUUUCGAGUCUGCUCCCUUUAAAUGCAUUAGCGAGACUUCCCUAUGCUGAACCGCCUCUUUGACGUGAUAAUUAUCUGCGUCGAAUUUUGGUUCUCGUUGGGCUUGCUUCUAAUCGUCUGUUAAAGACAAAACGGAUUUGGGUGCAUAUAUGCGCCUUUUUCCAAAACCUUUUUUGAUCUCAAAUCGGGUAGGACUACCCGCUGAACUUAAGCAUAUCAAUAAGCGGAGGA
This 420-nucleotide unclassified non-coding RNA is filed under the name soil metagenome. Its description in RNAcentral is "partial contains 5.8S ribosomal RNA, internal transcribed spacer 2, and large subunit ribosomal RNA". The stretch from base 1 to 120 matches the Rfam family "5.8S ribosomal RNA", at positions 35 to 154 of the family's 154-position model. The record is from RNAcentral.